GACGAACGCUGGCGGCGUGCUUAACAUAUGCAAGUCGAACGGAAAGGCCCAGCUUGCUGGGUACUCGAGUGGCGAACGGGUGAGUAACACGUGGGUGAUCUGCCCUGCACUCUGGGAUAAGCCUGGGAAACUGGGUCUAAUACCGGAUAUGACCGACUGUCGCAUGGUGGUUGGUGGAAAGCUUUUGCGGUGUGGGAUGGGCCCGCGGCCUAUCAGCUUGUUGGUGGGGUAAUGGCCUACCAAGGCGACGACGGGUAGCCGACCUGAGAGGGUGAUCGGCCACACUGGGACUGAGACACGGCCCAGACUCCUACGGGAGGCAGCAGUGGGGAAUAUUGCACAAUGGGCGCAAGCCUGAUGCAGCGACGCCGCGUGAGGGAUGACGGCCUUCGGGUUGUAAACCUCUUUCACCAGGGACGAAGCGUGAGUGACGGUACCUGGAGAAGAAGCACCGGCCAACUACGUG
This 466-nucleotide ribosomal RNA is filed under the name uncultured bacterium. Its description in RNAcentral is "partial 16S ribosomal RNA". It matches the Rfam family "Bacterial small subunit ribosomal RNA", at positions 28 to 507 of the family's 1533-position model. The record is from RNAcentral.